Non-coding RNA from Acanthosepion pharaonis, 111 nucleotides. NCBI's taxonomy places the organism in Eukaryota, Metazoa, Mollusca, Cephalopoda, Sepiida, Sepiidae. The record is from the annotation of a GenBank genome assembly.
UCGGCCACAGUACAUUAAAACAACGGUUCCUAUAUGGUCACCAAAGUUAAGCAACGUCGAGCCUGGUUAGUACAUAGAUGGGUGACCGCUUGGGCAUACUAAGUACUGUAA